UACGGAGGAUGCGAGCGUUAUCCGGAUUUAUUGGGUUUAAAGGGUGCGUAGGCUGGCGCUCAAGUCAGGGGUGAAAUGCCGUGGCUCAACCACGGAGCUGCCUUUGAUACUGUGCGUCUUGAAUUCGGAUGCCGUGGGAGGAAUGAGUAGUGUAGCGGUGAAAUGCAUAGAUAUUACUCAGAACACCGAUUGCGAAGGCAUCUCACGAAUCCGAGAUUGACGCUGAGGCACGAAAGCGUGGGGAU
RNAcentral lists this ribosomal RNA (245 nucleotides) under uncultured Flavobacteriales bacterium. Its description in RNAcentral is "partial 16S ribosomal RNA". It matches the Rfam family "Bacterial small subunit ribosomal RNA", at positions 524 to 768 of the family's 1533-position model. Lineage: Bacteria; Pseudomonadati; Bacteroidota; Flavobacteriia; Flavobacteriales. The record is from RNAcentral.